Molecule: ribosomal RNA, 497 nt
Filed under: uncultured bacterium
Lineage: Bacteria
Description: partial 16S ribosomal RNA
Rfam family: Bacterial small subunit ribosomal RNA
Source: RNAcentral
GACGAACGCUGGCGGCGUGCCUAAUACAUGCAAGUCGAACGCUGAAGAGAGGAGCUUGCUCUUCUUGGAUGAGUUGCGAACGGGUGAGUAACGCGUAGGUAACCUGCCUUGUAGCGGGGGAUAACUAUUGGAAACGAUAGCUAAUACCGCAUAACAAUGGAUGACACAUGUCAUUUAUUUGAAAGGGGCAAUUGCUCCACUACAAGAUGGACCUGCGUUGUAUUAGCUAGUAGGUGAGGUAAUGGCUCACCUAGGCGACGAUACAUAGCCGACCUGAGAGGGUGAUCGGCCACACUGGGACUGAGACACGGCCCAGACUCCUACGGGAGGCAGCAGUAGGGAAUCUUCGGCAAUGGGGGCAAACCUGACCGAGCAACGCCGCGUGAGUGAAGAAGGGUUUCGGAUCGUAAAGCUCUGUUGUAAGUCAAGAACGGGUGAGAGAGUGGAAAGUUCACACUGUGACGGUAGCUUACCAGAAAGGGACGGCUAACUACGUG